GGUGCUUCACACCCACCUAGAGGAGCCUGUUCUAGAACCGAUGACCCCCGUUCAACCUCACCUUCUCUUGUUUACCCCGCCUAUAUACCGCCGUCGUCAGCCCACCCUGUGAAGGAUUUCUAGUGAGCAGAAUUGGCACAGCCCAAAACGUCAGGCCGAGGUGUAGCGUAUGGGAAGGGAAGAAAUGGGCUACAAUUGCUUAAACAGCUAAUACGAAUUGUUACGCUGAAAUCGCAAACAUGAAGGAGGAUUUAGAAGUAAGAGGAUAAACAGAGUGUUCCUCUGAAAUGGCUCUGAAGCGCGCACACACCGCCCGUCACUCUCCCCAAGCUAGACCAGAAUCGCAUAACUAAAAAGCAUUAUCCUACGAAGGGGAGGCAAGUCGUAACAUGGUAAGUGUACCGGAAGGUGUACUUGGUAUAAAU
This 425-nucleotide ribosomal RNA is filed under the name Verulux cypselurus (swallowtail cardinalfish). Its description in RNAcentral is "partial 12S ribosomal RNA". It matches the Rfam family "Bacterial small subunit ribosomal RNA", at positions 915 to 1533 of the family's 1533-position model. The record is from RNAcentral. Lineage: Eukaryota; Metazoa; Chordata; Actinopteri; Kurtiformes; Apogonidae.